AGUUGGGCACUCUAGCGAGACUGCCGGUGACAAACCGGAGGAAGGUGGGGAUGACGUCAAAUCAUCAUGCCCCUUAUGACCUGGGCUACACACGUGCUACAAUGGGAAGUACAACGAGUCGCUAGACCGCGAGGUCAUGCAAAUCUCUUAAAGCUUCUCUCAGUUCGGAUUGCAGGCUGCAACUCGCCUGCAUGAAGCCGGAAUCGCUAGUAAUCGCGGAUCAGCACGCCGCGGUGAAUACGUUCCCGGGCCUUGUACACACCGCCCGUCACACCACGAGAGUUUGUAACACCCGAAGUCGGUGAGGUAACCUUUUUGGAGCCAGCCGCCUAAGGUGGGAUAGAUGAUUGGGGUGAAGUCGUAACAAGGUAGCCGUAUCGGAAGGUGCGGCUGGAUCACCUCCUUU
This 406-nucleotide ribosomal RNA is filed under the name Enterococcus faecalis. RNAcentral describes it as "bacterial SSU rRNA". It matches the Rfam family "Bacterial small subunit ribosomal RNA", at positions 1129 to 1533 of the family's 1533-position model. The record is from RNAcentral. RNAcentral also lists the same sequence under 1 other name. Lineage: Bacteria; Bacillati; Bacillota; Bacilli; Lactobacillales; Enterococcaceae.